This is a long non-coding RNA of Oncorhynchus nerka (sockeye salmon), 835 nucleotides long. RefSeq lists it as uncharacterized. The record is from RefSeq and is a predicted model, not a curated record. NCBI's taxonomy places the organism in Eukaryota, Metazoa, Chordata, Actinopteri, Salmoniformes, Salmonidae. The transcript has 2 exons.
ACUGAAUUACCACCAUUCUAUUGGUUGUCUACACCUCAAUGGUGGUCUUCCCAUUGGCCACAUACCAGCUAAACCUUCGCAAUUUCAGCAGCUGCACCACAUUAUGGAGAGGAGGUUGCUGGAAGCCAACCUGUUGCAAGGCAGGCUGAACAAUCGAGGAGUGAAACUUACUAACAAUGGCGUCGUGCUGAGACGUGGUCUUUAUCUCCACUCACAGGAGGACCUUAUACACAAAGAUUGUUAUAUCUAACUCAUAAUUUAUGUACAAAACAUUAUGAACACCUGCUCUUUCCAUGACAUAAAUUGACCAGGUGAAAUAUAUGAUCCCUUAUUGAAGUCACUUGUUAAAUCCACUUCAAUCAGUGUAGAUGAAGGGGAGGAGAGUUUAAACUCUACGGGAUCGUAGAGACCCCCCCCCACCCACGGGACGGUUGUGUUAAUGUGAUAAGCAUGAGGUUGUAAGUAACAAAAACAUUUCCCAGGAUACAGAUAUAUCUGAUAGGGGCAGAAAGCUUAAAUUUGUGUUAAUCUAACUGCACUGUCCAAUUUACAGUAGCUAUUACAGUGAAAGAAUACCAUGCUAUUGUUUGAGGAGAGUGCACAAUUAUGAACUUAAAAAUGUAUUAAUAAACCAAUUAGGAACAUUUGGGCAGUCUUGAUACAACAUUUGACAGAUGAGCAAUGGUUCGUUGGAUCAGUCUAAAACUUUACACAUACACUGCUGCCAAAAUCUAAAUUGUGCCUGAGCUGGAAUAAUACAUUAUGGCCUUUCUCUUGCAUUUCAAAGAUGAUGUAAAAAUAAAAAAUAAAAUAAAAAUCUUUGUAUUAUCUUUUA